RNAcentral lists this ribosomal RNA (564 nucleotides) under uncultured bacterium. RNAcentral's name for it is "bacterial SSU rRNA". It matches the Rfam family "Bacterial small subunit ribosomal RNA", at positions 362 to 917 of the family's 1533-position model. The record is from RNAcentral.
AUUUUNUNAAUGGGCGAAAGCCUGAAGCANCGACGCCGCGUGGGGGAUGAAUGGCUUCGGCCCGUAAACCCCUGUCAUUUGCGAACAAAUUAUUUUACCUAACACGUAAAGUAUUGAUAGUAGCGGAAGAGGAAGGGACGGCUAACUCUGUGCCAGCAGCCGCGGUAAUACAGAGGUCCCAAGCGUUGUUCGGAUUCACUGGGCGUAAAGGGUGCGUAGGCGGUCGGGUAAGUCUGAUGUGAAAUCCCGCAGCUUAACUGCGGAACGGCAUUGGAUACUAUUCGGCUGGAGGAGUGGAGGGGAGACUGGAAUUCUCGGUGUAGCAGUGAAAUGCGUAGAUAUCGAGAGGAACACCUGUGGCGAAGGCGAGUCUCUGGACACUUCCUGACGCUGAGGCACGAAAGCCAGGGGAGCAAACGGGAUUAGAUACCCCGGUAGUCCUGGCCCUAAACGGUGCGCAUUUGCUGUGAGCGGAAUCGACCCCGCUCGUGGCGAAGCUAACGCGUUAAAUGCGCCGCCUGGGAAGUACGGCCCGCAAGGUUAAAACUCAAAGAAAUUGACGGA